RNAcentral lists this ribosomal RNA (427 nucleotides) under uncultured bacterium. Its description in RNAcentral is "partial 16S ribosomal RNA". It matches the Rfam family "Bacterial small subunit ribosomal RNA", at positions 1 to 423 of the family's 1533-position model. The record is from RNAcentral.
UAAAGGGACUAGUCCUGCAGGUUUAAACGAAUUCGCCCUUAGAGUUUGAUCCUGGCUCAGAACGAACGCUGGCGGCAUGCCUAACACAUGCAAGUCGAACGCCCUCUUCGGAGGGAGUGGCGCACGGGUGCGUAACGCGUGGGAACCUGCCCUUAGGUUCGGAAUAACUCAGAGAAAUUUGAGCUAAUACCGGAUAAUGUCUUCGGACCAAAGAUUUAUCGCCGAAAGAUCGGCCCGCGUCUGAUUAGCUUGUUGGUGAGGUAAUGGCUCACCAAGGCGACGAUCAGUAGCUGGUCUGAGAGGAUGAUCAGCCACAUUGGGACUGAGACACGGCCCAAACUCCUACGGGAGGCAGCAGUGGGGAAUAUUGGACAAUGGGCGCAAGCCUGAUCCAGCCAUGCCGCGUGAGUGAUGAAGGCCCUAGGGU